GCGGGUGGAUCACCUGAGGCCAGGAGUUCGAGACCAGCCUGGCCAACGUGGUGAAAUCCCAUCUCUACUAAAAAUACAAAAAAUUAGCCGGGCGUGGUGGCACGAACCCGUAAUCCCAGCUGCUCAGGAGGCUGAGGCAGGAGAAUCGCUUGAACCUGAGAGGCAGAGGUUGCAGUGAGCCGAGAUCGUGCCACUGCACUCCAGCCUGGGUGACAGAGCAAGACUCUGCCUCAAAAAAAAAAAAAAAACAAACCACCAUCACCACCACCAAGGAAUCCAUCCAUGGAAACAUUUACUAUCCUCUGCCAAGAAAUAUAUUAAAUUGGAGGGAGGACUGUUGAGGGAUAAAUAAAUAAAUAGAAAUACAUUGGCCAGGCAUGGUGGCUCACACCUGUAAUUCCACCACCUUGGGAGGGAUUGCGCCACUGCACUCCUGCUUGGGUGACAGAGCAAGACUGCAUCUCAAAAAAAAAAAAAAAGAAAUAUAUAAAACUGACUCUAUUGGUAGGUUUUAAAAAAGUUAUUAAGCCAACUAGUGACCUUCCUUCGAUGACAUAUUCCCUUGAUGUACGUUUUCUUGUUAUUUUUUGAGACGGAGUCUUGCUCUGUUGCCCAGGCUGGAGUGCAGUGGCGCGAUCUCGGCUGACCGCAACCUCCGCCUCCCGGGUUCAAGAGAUUCUCCUGCCUCAGCCUCCCGAGUAGCUGGGACUACAGGAGCAUGCCAUCACACCCAGCUAAUUUUUUUGUAUUUUUAGUAGAGACGGGGUUUCACCAUAUUGGCCCAGGAUGGUCUUGAUCUCUUGACCUCGUGAUGUGCCUGCCUCUGCCUCCCAAAGUGCUGGGAUUACAGGCAUAAGCCACUAUUUCCAUUCCCUCAAUUUCAACUUCUCUGUGUCUUUGACACACAAUGUAUUACUAAACAUGUUUGUUUGUUUGUUUGUUUGUUUGUUUUCUGAGAUGGAGUCUUGCUCUGUCACGCAGGCUGGAGUGCAAUGGUGCCAUCUCAGCUCACUACAACCUCCACCUCCUGAGUUCAAGCAAUUCUCCUGCCUCAGCCUCCCAAGUAGCUGGGAUUACAGGUGCACGCCACCACUCCUGGCUAAUUUUCUGUACUUUUAGUAGAUAGGGGGGUCUCGCUAUGUUCACCAGGCUGGUCUUGAACUCCUGACCUCAAGUGAUCCACCCACCUCCGCCUCCCAAAGUGGGAUUACAGGCCAUGAGCCACUGUGCCCAGCCUUGUUUUGUUUUCUUGUGUUUUGAGACAAGCUCUUGCUCUGUCACCCAGGCUGCAGUGCAGUGCACAAUUAUAGCUCACUACAGCCUCAAACUCCUGUGCUCAAGGGAUCCUCCCACCUCAGCCUCCCAAGAAGCUGGAACUGCAGGCACAAGCUACCAUGCCCAGCUAAUUUUUAAAAAAAAUUUUGUAGAGACAGGAGUCUUGCUAUGUUGACCAGGCUGGUCUCAAACUCCUAUCCUCAAGCAAUCCUCCCACCUCAGCUUUCCAAAAUGUUGGGAUUACAGGUAUAAGCCACCAUGCCUGACUCUUUUUUUCCAAGAGACAGGGUCUCCAGCCUGACCAACAUGGAGAAACCCUGUCUCUACUAAAAAUACAAAAUUAGCCGGGCGUGGUGGCGCAUGCCUGUAAUCCCAGCUACUCGAGAGGCUGAGGCAGGAGAAUUGCUUGAACCUGGGAGGCAGAGGUUGCAGUGAGCCAAGAUCGCGCCAUUACACUCCAACCUGGGCAACAAGAGUGAAACUCCAUCUCAAACAAAAAAGAAAAAGAAAAAGAGACAGCAUCUCACUCUGUCGUCCAGGCUGGAGUGCAAUGAUGCAAUCGUGGCUCACGGUAACUUCGAACUCCUGGGCUCAAGCAAGCUUCCUCCCUCAGCCUUCUGAGUAGCUAGGACUAUAGGCACAUACCACUGUAUCCCUGGUGUGGUUUGUCUUUUAAAGUCUGAUCUGAGAGUUUGUCUUUAGUUUGGUAAAUUUAACUCAUCUACAGUGAUUCUAAUGCUGUUAUUAGACUUCACUGAAUUUAAUUCAGCCUCCUUAUUUCAGGUUUCUUUUUUUUCCCCCUUUUUCCACAUGUUCUAACAUGCUUUCUAAUUACCAUACUUCUUAUUUUUUCCCCCCUUCAUUUUUGCCUUCCAUUAAUUUUCCUUUUGCAGGUGUGGCAGUUUGCUAGUCGCCUCCUGCUAGCUAUUUUCCCCUCCUUCCUUAGUUUGAGAACCCCAGUUUUUAGCUGGACAUGAUGCAGUCCUGCUAUACAGUACAUCCCAGCCUUCCUGAAAGCCAGGUAUUGUCAUAUGAUUAGCCAAUGAGAUACAAAGGAGGUUUGAUGUAUGAUAUCUGAGAAAUGUCCUAAAAAGGAAGGGGUAGGUCAGCUGGGUUUAAUAUUGCCAUGGAGCUGCUACGUCAGCAAUGGAUUGACUGCCUACGUCAGAAAUUCUUUUCAGAAAGAUGUAAGCCUCCAUCUUGCUUAAUACGCUAAUUUGCAGAUUUUUCUUACCUGCCAGCAAGCCUUUCCUAACUGACGUAGUAUGUUUCAAAGUUAUACAUUCAAUUUUCCGUUUCUGUUAGUUGUUCCAUUAACUUAUUAGGAUCUCUAUUUUUAUUUUUCCCCAUAAAUUACAUAAACUUACAAUUGUUCACCUUUCUCAUCCUCAAGAAUAGUAGUUCUGGACAUUCUCAUCUCUCUCUGCUCUAUACUAAUUCCUCACCUAUGUUGGAAUUACCCAGAAUUUAUCUCUGGAAUAUUAUAGAUACUAGUUGCUUUCUUAAACCUUGAUUAUUAUUGUACCUUUUUUUUUUUUUUCUCCUGAGACAGAGUCUCACUGUAUCGCCCAAGCUGGAGUGCAGUGGCACGAUCUAGGCUCACUGCAAUCCCCACCACCAUUCUCAUGCCUCAGCCUCCCCAGUAGCUACGAUUACAGGCAUGUGCCACUGCACCGGGCUAAUUUUCUUCUAUUUUUUAAGAGAUGGGGUUUCAGCAUGUUGGCCAGCCACCGCACCUGGCCUAUUAUUGAUUUUUUUUGGCCGGGCGCCGUGGCUUAUGCCUGUAAUCCCAGCAUUUUGGGAGGCCGAGGCAGGCGGAUCACUUGAGGCUAGAAGUUCGAGACCAGCCUGGCCAACAUGGUGAAACCCCGUCUCUACUAAAAAUACAAAAAUUGGCUGUGCAUGGGUGGCAUGCACCUGUAAUCCCAGCUACUCAGGAGGCUGAGGCACAGAAUUGCUUGAACCCAGGAGGCAGAGGUUACAGUGAACCGAGAUCAUGCCACUGGACUCCAGCCUGGGCUACAGAUCAAGACUCCGUCUAUUAAAAAAACAAAAAAACAAAACCCCUGAGUGUAUAAAAUCAAGAAAUUUGCACCAAGUGAUACAUCCAUGUAACCACUACCCUGACCAAGAAACAGGACACCCCCAGACCCCUAGGUGUCCUUCUCACGAUUCAGUCGCAAUUCUUCCCAACACUAACCAGUUCUGACCAUGAAUCCCCAAGGUUAAUUUUGCCUGUUAUAAAGUUUUAAGUCAACAGAAUCAUUAUGCCCUGCUCUGUGUCUACCUUCUCUCAUUCAUCAUUUUUCAUUAGACUCAUCACUGUUGUGCAAAGCUGGACAGAAUUUCCUUGUGUGCUUACACUUACUGCAGUUUAUCCAUUUACUUUUGAUGGACAUUUGGGUUAGCUCCAGUUUGUAACUAUGACAAGCAGUGCUAGCACAAACAUCCUGAAAUAUGUAUUUAAGAGAACAUGGGAUAUAUUUCUAUUGGUUAUAUGCCUAACAACAGGAUUGUUGAGUAGCAGAAUGUGCAUAUAAUUCUACAUUUUUGCCUCUUUUUUUUACUAGUGUUGCCUGACUUGUUUGUAUUGACUAGUAGGAAUUUCUUUGCAACUCUAGAUAUACGACCAGCUGUGGUGGCUCAUGCCUCAACUAUCACUUUUAAGUCAUAUAAAACCCCAUGCCUUAGCCUUCCUCUUAUCCAUCAAGGCCUCUAACUACAUGUGGAGAAAAUAAAAGCGUGACAAAAACAAAGCAACCUCCUGGUAGAGCAGCAACCUUAGACUUGAUCCCUCAUAUCCCUUCCUCCUUUUCUCAUUCUCCACGAGCAGAGGCUCGCCACCUUGCUGAGAUAUCCUGACAGGCUUCCCUUAGAUGCUGCCCUGCUACCAAAAGCCACGGUCUUCAUCCAGAAGCAUGAACUCUGGAUAUACAAAAUAGGCAUUGUUCAUCUGAAUCAGAACAAUUUUUCUUAGUACAAGUACUGCCUUAGGAAAGACUGUCUCUUUUGCACAUGUGAGCCUACAACAAGGGAGAAAAAAUUCACUUACUUUGACUGCAAGGUCUGCCUGGGCCAUGUGCCAUCUUCAUUUUGAGGCUCAAUUACUAGCACCUGAGUGAAAGGGGAAACCAAAUGAGGAGAGUUCAAACCACCGCACUUCCAACAUGCUUAGAAGCAAAAAGUAUCUGGCCACACACCCUGGGCAGAGCUACCUGCUGGGGAAUGGCCAGGGCCCUCCUACCUGACCCUGGUAUAGCCCAGCAUCCUGGACAGUGUUGUCUAGCUUGCUCAACUGCUCGUAGGUGUUGCUCAUGUAUUUGUUCCAGAGCCGUGUUUCACGCUCCGCAGGGAUGUUGAAUAGCUUCCGCAUCUCUUUCUCGAUGGUUGCUAGGAACAGGCAGAAAUAUCACUUGGGGCUUUGUCCACAUGCAAGGCUAAAGACAGCCAUGGCAAACUAAUGCUCAUCCUCUUUCUUGUCAGAUGCUCACAGGUGCUCUGGAUCAACCCCCUGAUACCUCUUAAAAUCAAUCAUCUCCCAUGGGUGGCCUCUUGCACUCAUAUGCCUGGAAAGUAUCCCUAUGCUUCUUUGCUAACGUGUGUCUCUCAUUUAUGGCGCAAAAGCAACAUAGAAAGCGAGAAAGCUUAUCUUUGGAGUUAACUCAGAUAUGGCUUCAAAAGCUAGCUCCACCAUUUUCUGGCUGCGAUUUGUUUUUUUUUUUAAGAGACAGGAUCUUGCUCUGAUGCCCAGGCUGCAGUGCAGUGGUGGGAUCGUAGCUCACUGUAAACCUUGCUGAGAUUUUUAAAUAAGUUAUUUUUAAACUUCUUUGGAUCUACAUUUCCUUAUCUUCAUUAUCAUAGACAAAUGGGCAAGGAGCAGGCCCAGUGUUCUCUCCAUAAGAAUUCCUGGAGGAAUAGGCCCCCAGGUCAGGACUGGCAACUACAGCUCGAGAUGAUUUGGGUAACAAAUCUAAAGAGGGCAUAUAAAAUAAUGCCCUCUUCCCUCCCAUCAGCCACAAUGUCCUACACUCUCUCACCACAUACCAGGGACCCCAGCCCAGCCUCUCACCAAUGGUGUCUGCCUUGCUGAAAUGGCAACUCAGCACAUUGGUGGGGUCACUGUUCUCACAGAGCUUCAGUUCCAGCAAAUACACCUCGACUUUGCAGUGCUUGACAAACAGGCCAUGCUCCACAACCUAUGAACAAGAGGCAGGGGUGAGGGCAUAGCGGUUUUGCAGCUGGGCAGUCUUGGAUGUAGCAUAUCUUAUCAGAAGCAAAAAGCAGAAAACUCAUGAUAAUCCAUUUCCUUUACUGAUCAAGGGAUCAAAAGAACAGAUUUUUAAAGCUACCAGUACCUGGACAAAGAGUUUAAAAAUAUUUUUUCUGGCCGCGUGUGGUGGCUCACGCUUGUAAUCUCAACACUCUGGGAGGCCGAGGUGGGUGGAUCACUUGAGGUCAGGAAUUUGAGACCAGCCUGACCAACAUGGUGAAACCCCAUUUCUAUGAAAAAUACAAAAAUUAGCCGGGCAUGGUGGCAUGUGCCUGUAAUCCCAACUACUCAGGAGGCUGAGACAGGGGAAUCGCUUGAACCCAGGAGGUGGAGGCUGCAGUGAGCCAAGAUCGCUCCACUGCACUCCAGCCUGGGCGACAGAGCGAGACUCUGUACCCCGCAAAAAAAUAUAUAUAUAUUUUUUUUCUACCCACUAAGACCAAGAGCAUCUUGAUGAUAUUAGAGAGAAGCCUAUUCUUCACUGUUUUUUGUUUUUGAGAUGGAGUCUUCCUCCGUCAGCAGCCUGGAGUGCAGUGGUGCGAUCUCAGCUCAUUACAACCUGCACCUCCUGGGUUCAAGAGAUUCUCCUGCCUCAGCCUCCCGAGUAGCUGGGACUACAGGGGCCCACCAUCAUGCCCAGCUAAUUUUUGUAUUUUUAGUAGAGACAGGAUUUCACCAUGUUGGCCAGGAUGGUCUCGAUCUCUUAACCUCGUGAUCCGCCUGCCUCAGCCUCCCAAAGUGCUGGGAUUACAGGCGUGAGCCACCAUGCACGGCCUGAUCAAAGACUCUUUUUUUUUUUUUGCAACCGAGUCUCACUCUGUUGCCAGGCUGCAGUACAGUGGGGUGAUCUCGGCUUACUGCAACCUCCGUCUCCUGGGUUCAAGCAAUUCUCCUGCCUCAGCCUCCCGAGUAGCUGGGACUACAGGUAUGUGCCACCACACCCAGUUAAUUUUUGGAUUUUUAGCAGAGACGAGGUUUCACCAUGUUGGCCAGGGUGGUCUUGAUCUCCUGACCUCGUGAUCCACCCGCCUCAACCUCCCAAAGUGCUGGGAUUACAGAUGUGAGCCACUGCGCCUAGCUCAAAGACUCUUAAGCAUAGAGGGAAAAGCAGUAUCAUAAAGGUUUUUUAAGAUAAACAAGAUGCAGGACAUUAGCUAUAUGUCCAUAUGCCCCCAGUGAACUUUCUCUCAUAGAAUUUUCCAGAAAGUUCUCUCACAGCGCUGCUGGGCACAUUCCAAGCCACUGGGCAGCUCUGAUGUUUAGAGGCCACUCAUGAUAAUAUUCUGGGUGAGCAACUUCACUCACAACCACAAUUUCCUAAAGAGAACCAGAAACAGGCUGGGCGUAGUGGCUCACGCCUGUAAUCCCACCACUUUGGGGGGCCGAGUCGGGCGGAUCACAAGGUCAAGAGUUUGAGACCAGACUGGCCAACAUGGCGAAACCCCGUCUCUACUAAAAAUACAAAAAUUGGCCAGGCGUAGUGAAAGGCGCCUGUAAUCCCAGCUACUCAGGAGGCUGAGGCACGAGAAUCACUUGAACCUGGGAGCCAGAGGCUGCAGUGAGCCGAGAUCGUGCCGUUGCACUCCAGCCUGGGCGACAAGUGCACAAGACUCCAUCUCAAAAAAAAAAGAGAUCCAGAAACAAGGCCUCAAGCACCACUAUUCAACCACUGAGGUAUGUUCAUUUUCCUAGCAAACACUAGUCAGUGUCCAACAGAAAGCACCUGCAGACAGUGACCAGCAGGUGGGACAAUUCACAUAACUCACUUUUCUGACGAUGGGUUGCUGGCCUUCUACACAGCCGUACCAGUUUAGUAGUUUAUUCCACGCCUCGGUAGGGACCAAUACAUAGUCCAAUUCAUCAAUUAAGUGUUCUUUCAAGGUCUGACUCUCAGGAUCUAAAAAAGGAAAAGAGCACAUAAGUCACUGCUCUUUACCCCAGAAAUGAUGGUUUUACAUGAUUUCCAUGUACUUUUCAGAAAUAAGAAAAUUAUUUACAGAAAGAAACAGGAAUGAAAUUCCAAAAUUCUGUCACUGGUCAUUAUACAGAGCAGACUUUUGUCUUUAUCCAUGUUUUCUCUUUAUCCAUGAAGAUUUUAUGAGGAAUUUGUAUUUCUUCUAUAAUUGGAGGGAGAGAAGAGGAUAAAAAAGAAAAACUCCAGGCUGGGUGUGGUGGCUCACACCUGUAAUCAGCACUUUCGGAGGCUGAGGCGGUUGGAUCAUGAGGUCAGGAGUUUGAGAGCAGCCUGGCCAACAUGGUGAAACCCCGUCUCUACUAAAAAUAUAAAAAUUAGCCGGGUGUGGUAGCGGGCACCUGUAGUCCCAGCUACUCGGGAGGCUGAGGCAGGAGAAUUGCUUGAACCCGGGAGGCAGAGGUUGCAGUAAGCCAAGAUCACGCCACUGCACUCCAGCCUGGUGAAAGAGCAAGACUCCAUCUCAAAAAUAAAUAAAUCAUACAUGAGGUGGUUAUGGUUUCCCACCAUCCCUCCGACUAGUUUACACACCUUUUUCAGGGCAGGGUUCCUUUGUUGUCAUUUCAACAAUGCUCAUAACAUCUUCACCAGACAUAGAUUCCAUCUCAAGAAACCAUUUUCUUUGCUCACCCAUAAGAAGCAACUCCUCAGCCAUUCAAGUUUUAUCAUAAGAUUAAAGCAAUUCAGGCCGGGCAUGUUGGCUCAUGCCUGUAAUUCCAGCACUUUGGGAGGCUGAGGCAGGCAGAUCACUUGAGGUCAGGAAUUCAAGAUCAGCCUGGCCAACAUGGUGAAACCCCAUUUCUAGUAAAAAUACAAAAAUUAGCUGGGCAUGGUGAUGCAUGCCUGUAGUCCCAGCUACUCGGGAGGCUGAGGCAUAAGAAUUGCUUGAACCCAGGAGGUGGAGACUGCAGUGAGCCGAGAUACCCCACUGUACUCCAGCCUGGGUGACAGAGCAAGACUCUGUCUCAAAAGAAAUAAAAAUAAAUAAAAAUUAAAAUUAAAAAUAGGCCAGGCGCAGUGGCUCACACCUGUAAUCCCAGCACUUUCGGAGGCCGAGGUGGGCAGAUCAUGAGGUCAGGAGUUCAAGACCAGCCUGGCCAGGGUAGUGAAACCCCGUCUCUACUACAAACACAAAAAUUAGCUGGGCAUGGUGGUGCACACCUGUAGCCCAGCUACUUGGGAGGCUGAGGCAGGAGAAUUGUUUGAACCCAGGAGGCGGAGGUUGCAGUGAGCCAAGAUUGCGCCACUGCACUCCAGCCUGGGUGACACAGCGAAACUCCAUCUCAAAAAAAAUAAAAAUAAAAGUAAAAAUAAAAAAUAAAGCAAUUCAGUCACAUCUUCAGGCUUCACUUCUAAUUCUAGUUCUCUUGCUAUUUCCACUUUUGCUGUUACUUCUCCCACUGAUGUCUUGAGCCCGUUGAAGUCAUCCGUAAGUGUUGGAAUGAACUUCUUCCAGACUCCUAUUAAUGUUGAUUUUGACCUCCCAUGAAUCAUGAAUAUUUUUGUGUGUGUGUGUGGGCAGGUGGGAGUGGCAGGCCUUACUCUAUCACCCAGGCUGAAGUGCAGUGGCAUGAUUACAGCUCACUGCAGCUUCGACCUCCCAGACUCAAGCAAUCCUCCUGCCUUAGUCUCCCAAGUAGCUAGAACUACAGGUGCAUGCCACCAGGCCUAGCUAAUUUUCGUAUUUUUUAUAGGGAUGGGGUUUUGCCAAGUUGCCCACCCUAGUCUCCAAUUCCUGGGUUCAAAGGAUCCACCUACUUCAGCCUGCCAAAGUCCUGGGAUUAUAGGUAUAAGCCACUGCACCAGGUGGAAUCAUGAAUAUUCUUAAUGGCAUCUAGAAUGGUAAAUCCUUUCCAAAAGGUUUUCAAUUUAAUUUGCCCAGAUCCUUCAGGAGAAUCACUAUCUAUGGCAGAUAAAGUCUUAUAAAAUGUAUUUCUUAAAUAAUAAGACUUGAAAGUUGAAAUCAAAUCAGGCACGCUGGCUCAGGCCUGUAAUCCCAGCACUUCGGCAGGCUGAGGCGGGAGGAUCACUUGAGGUCAGAAGUUUGAGACCAGCCUGGCCAACAUGGUGAAACCUGGUCUCUACUAAAAAUACAAAAAUUAGCCAGGUGGAGGGACGGGCACCUGUAUCCCAGCUACUCAGGAGGCUGAGGCAGGAGAAUUACUUGAACCUGGUAGGAGGAGGCAGGAGAAUUGCUUGAACCUGGGAGGGAGAGGUUGCAGGGAGCCAAGACUGAGCCACUGCACUCCAGCCUGGGCAACAGAGUGAGACUCUGUCUCAAAACAAACAAACAAACAAACAAACAAACAAAAAAAGUUGAAAUUACUUCUUGACUCACAGGCUGCAGAACGGAUGUUUUUAGUAGGCAUGAAACAACAUUAAUCUCCUCAUGCAUCUCCAUCAGAGCUCUUGGGUAACUAGGUACAUUGCAAUGGAGCAGUAACUUUUUUUUUUUUGAGACAGUCUCGCUGUGUCCCCCAGGCUGGAGUGCAGUGGCGCCAUCUCGGCUCACUGCAAGCUCCACCUCUC
Molecule: long non-coding RNA, 10046 nt
Filed under: Homo sapiens (human)
Lineage: Eukaryota; Metazoa; Chordata; Mammalia; Primates; Hominidae
Description: HSALNT0054322
Rfam family: Metazoan signal recognition particle RNA (bases 8340-8486)
Source: RNAcentral